Oreochromis aureus is the source of this 345-nucleotide long non-coding RNA. NCBI's taxonomy places the organism in Eukaryota, Metazoa, Chordata, Actinopteri, Cichliformes, Cichlidae. The record is from Ensembl.
GAAAGGACUAGUUUAUAAAUGGAAAUGCAUUACAGACCUGUGUGAGAGGAGAAAGUAGAUGACAUCAGCAUUAACACUGCUGGAAUGCUUUUACUAUUAAUUUGUGAUGCCUGUUCAAACUCAUCCAAUUAAUGAAAUAGAGAGUACAUUUUUAAUAAUGUUCUUAUUUAAAAUGUACCAUUUUACAUUUAGUUUUACUUUAUUCACAGAUUGCACAAGAAUGAAACAAUCUUUUAUCCAUUUAUCCCUAACAGCAGGUAAACCCAGGGCCACACUGACUCCAGGAUCAACUAUCAUACCAGUAGGGGGCAGUGUGACACUGACCUGCUCUGUGGGGAGCUCUGC